RNAcentral lists this Y RNA (81 nucleotides) under Microcebus murinus (gray mouse lemur). RNAcentral describes it as "Y RNA (ENSMICG00000048157.1)". It matches the Rfam family "Y RNA". From Rfam's summary of the family: Y RNAs are components of the Ro ribonucleoprotein particle (Ro RNP), in association with Ro60 and La proteins. The Y RNAs and Ro60 and La proteins are well conserved, but the function of the Ro RNP is not known. Lineage: Eukaryota; Metazoa; Chordata; Mammalia; Primates; Cheirogaleidae. The record is from Rfam by way of RNAcentral.
GGCUGGUCCAAGUGCAGUUUAACAACCAAUGAUCACAACCAGUUACAGAUUCCUUUAGCUGCUUCACUUGACUAGCCUUAA